GACGAACGCUGGCGGCGUGCUUAACACAUGCAAGUCGAGCGGUAAGGCCCUUUCGGGGGUACACGAGCGGCGAACGGGUGAGUAACACGUGGGUAAUCUGCCCUGCACUCUGGGAUAAGCCCGGGAAACUGGGUCUAAUACCGGAUAUGACUUUCUUACGCAUGUAGGAAGGUAGGAAAGUUCCGGCGGUGCAGGAUGAACCCGCGGCCUAUCAGCUUGUUGGUGGGGUAAUGGCCUACCAAGGCGACGACGGGUAGCCGGCCUGAGAGGGCGACCGGUCACACUGGGACUGAGACACGGCCCAGACUCCUACGGGGAGGCAGCAGGUGGGGAAUAUUGCACAAUGGGCGAAAGCCUGAUGCAGCGACGCCGCGUGAGGGAUGACGGCC
Molecule: ribosomal RNA, 389 nt
Filed under: uncultured bacterium
Lineage: Bacteria
Description: bacterial SSU rRNA
Rfam family: Bacterial small subunit ribosomal RNA
Source: RNAcentral